RNAcentral lists this transfer RNA (42 nucleotides) under Oxalis acetosella (European wood-sorrel). RNAcentral describes it as "partial tRNA-Leu". The record is from RNAcentral. Lineage: Eukaryota; Viridiplantae; Streptophyta; Magnoliopsida; Oxalidales; Oxalidaceae.
AGCCUUGGUAUGGAGGGUUCAAGUCCCUCUAUCCCCAAAAAU